This 274-nucleotide ribosomal RNA is filed under the name uncultured bacterium. Its description in RNAcentral is "partial 16S ribosomal RNA". It matches the Rfam family "Bacterial small subunit ribosomal RNA", at positions 523 to 796 of the family's 1533-position model. The record is from RNAcentral.
AUACGGAGGGUCCAAGCGUUAUCCGGAAUCAUUGGGUUUAAAGGGUUCGCAGGCGGUCUAUUAAGUCAGUGGUGAAAUCUCUCGGCUCAACCGAGAAACUGCCAUUGAUACUGAUAGACUUGAAUAUAGUUGAAGUAGGCGGAAUGUGUAGUGUAGCGGUGAAAUGCUUAGAUAUUACACAGAACACCGAUAGCGAAGGCAGCUUACUAAACUGUUAUUGACGCUCAUGAACGAAAGCGUGGGGAGCGAACAGGAUUAGAUACCCCGGUAGUCC